RNAcentral lists this long non-coding RNA (1148 nucleotides) under Equus asinus (donkey). RNAcentral's name for it is "lncRNA (ENSEASG00005037268.1)". Lineage: Eukaryota; Metazoa; Chordata; Mammalia; Perissodactyla; Equidae. The record is from RNAcentral.
CUCAGGCUUCCAGCACCAGCCUACCUUUUCCACCACUGCCAGAUUUUUCUGUGGUUCUGGGCAUUUUCACCCUGGGGGCCUCUGGGAGAGCUGGGGAGAGGGGCAUGAGGGAGGAGUUUGGCCCCCAGAUUCUAGCAGAGGAGUUUGCAUUUCCAGAUUCUCAGCACUGGGGCUCCGGGUCAGGGUGGGAGGCGAGGCGGAAAGGGGAGUGGAUGACUGUGAGGCUCGGCCUGGGAGAAGGCGGAGCAGGGGGGCCCUGGCAGAGGCGCCCGGAACAAAAAGACCCAGCAGAGGGGUCCUGAAGCAUCCCCGCCCCCAUCCUGCCCCGCAUUCCGGUGUCCUGCUGAGGGGGAGCUGGGAACCUGAGAGGCAGGUUUAACUUCUGAGUAAACUCCGAGAUGACCCUGAUAAGGGUGGGUCAGCUCUGCCUCCCCCCCCCCACAUUCUCCUGCCGAGGGCUGGAGCCAGGGCCCUGGGGAAGCUAGAUGGCGGGAGAUGAGAGGAUUGGGGAGGAUUGUGAGGGCCUGCAGUCUUUCAGGCUUUGCUUUAUCACUUAGUCUGGAAAUUUCUUUCUCAAUCCUGAGGAGGGAGGUGUUCAGAAUAGCACCUGAGGUGUGAGGAUGGGGGUUUAUCGCCCUCACAGGGAGGGGCUGAUUCUUAUCAUCUUAGAAGGAUUGGGAGUGACUCCAGAAAGGACUUCCCAGAAGUGUGAGUGUGUGUUGGAGAAUGUGAGAGGUCCCUGAGAUUACUUUGGAGGCGGUGGUCGGAAUUUGCAGAAGUGAAAGACCCGAGGGUGUGUCAGCUCACAGGGCAUGGUGUGAUCUGCGGGGAGAAAAUGGGCUCUUCCACACUGUCAUCUGCUGCUGAGGACCACGGAGGGCUUCAUGGCGGCCUCCUCAAGCUGUUGCUGGAGCGAAGGCGUGCACACUUGCACACAAGUGUGAUGAACAAUGCUGGAAGCACUGGGAAAGAGGCACUCCAUGGUCAUCGUCCUUGCUGCCAAGAAGGAAGCUAACACAGAGGAAAACAGUCAAGAGAAGAAGAGAAGGAUGGCCCUGCUGUCAUCGCCAAGCCUCCCAUCCGUCUACGCUGAAAGCCAAGUUCACCCCUGCACUUCCCAAUUGUGGGAGCAAAUAAAUCAUCUUGUG